AGAAGGACACGGGCAGCAGACAGUGGUCAGUCCUUUCUUGGCUCUGCUGACACUCGAGCCCACAUUCCGUCACCUGCUCAGAAUCAUGCAGGUCUCCACUGCUGCCCUUGCUGUCCUCCUCUGCACCAUGGCUCUCUGCAACCAGUUCUCUGCAUCACGUGAGUCUGAGUUUCGUUGUGGGUAUCACCACUCUCUGGCCAUGGUUAGACCACAUCAAUCUUUUCUUGUGGCCUAAAAGCCCCCAAGAGAAAAGAGAACUUCUUAAAGGGCUGCCAAACAUCUUGGUCUUUCUCUUUAAGACUUUUAUUUUUAUCUCUAGAAGGGGUCUUAGCCCCCUAGUCUCCAGGUAUGAGAAUCUAGGCAGGGGCAGGGGAGUUACAGUCCCUUUUACAGAUAGAAAAACAGGGUUCGAAACGAAUCAGUUAGCAAGAGGCAGAAUCCAGGGCUGCUUACUUCCCAGUGGGGUAUGUUGUUCACUCUCCAGCUCACUCUAGGUCUCCCAGGAGCUCUGUCCCUUGGAUGUCUUAUGAGAGAUGUCCAAGGCUUCUCUUGGGUUGGGGUAUGACUUCUUGAACCAGACAAAAUUCCCUGAAGAGAACUGAGAUAAGAGAACAGUCCGUUCAGGUAUCUGGAUCACACAGAGAAACAGAGAACCCACUAUGAAGAGUCAAGGAGAAAGAAGGAUACAGACAGAAACAAAGAGACAUUUCUCAGCAAAAAUGCCCAAAUGCCUUCCAGUCACUUGGUCUGAGCAAGCCUGCCUUCCUCAACUGCUCGGGGAUCAGAAGCUGCCUGGCCUUUUCUUCUGAGCUGUGACUCGGGCUCAUUCUCUUCCUUUCUCCACAGUUGCUGCUGACACGCCGACCGCCUGCUGCUUCAGCUACACCUCCCGGCAGAUUCCACAGAAUUUCAUAGCUGACUACUUUGAGACGAGCAGCCAGUGCUCCAAGCCCGGUGUCAUCUUCCUAACCAAGCGAAGCCGGCAGGUCUGUGCUGACCCCAGUGAGGAGUGGGUCCAGAAAUAUGUCAGCGACCUGGAGCUGAGUGCCUGAGGGGUCCAGAAGCUUCGAGGCCCAGCGACCUCGGUGGGCCCAGUGGGGAGGAGCAGGAGCCUGAGCCUUGGGAACAUGCGUGUGACCUCCACAGCUACCUCUUCUAUGGACUGGUUGUUGCCAAACAGCCACACUGUGGGACUCUUCUUAACUUAAAUUUUAAUUUAUUUAUACUAUUUAGUUUUUGUAAUUUAUUUUCGAUUUCACAGUGUGUUUGUGAUUGUUUGCUCUGAGAGUUCCCCUGUCCCCUCCCCCUUCCCUCACACCGCGUCUGGUGACAACCGAGUGGCUGUCAUCAGCCUGUGUAGGCAGUCAUGGCACCAAAGCCACCAGACUGACAAAUGUGUAUCGGAUGCUUUUGUUCAGGGCUGUGAUCGGCCUGGGGAAAUAAUAAAGAUGCUCUUUUAAAAGGUAAA
Homo sapiens (human) is the source of this 1468-nucleotide RNA transcript. It is a transcript of the gene named C-C motif chemokine ligand 3, with no coding region annotated. The transcript is spliced from 2 exons. NCBI's taxonomy places the organism in Eukaryota, Metazoa, Chordata, Mammalia, Primates, Hominidae. The record is from RefSeq and is marked reviewed.